CGGCGAUCCGUUAAGCGCGCUUUCUCUCACUCACGAGAAAACGGAGAAGACAAUCAUCGUCUUCCUCAUCAACUUUUCUUUCUUCUCACUCUUUUUGAAUCAUUAUAAUACUUAAUACUUUAUAAUAUAUGAUAUUUAUAAACUUUCCUUUUUUUAAAAAAAUUAAUUAAUUUUGAUUGCUUUGUUUACCAUAUUUUGCUUUUUUGGUAUAUUAUUUAUUUGAUUAAUUCUGUCCAUGGAUCUGAAAUUGAUACCCAGGAAUUUGUGUAGAAUUCGGAUUUGUAGAUCGCCAGUUAGCUGCAUUUGUGUGUUGUUUGACGUUCAGUAGUUGGAAGUAGAUUUUGUUGUGUGGAUAUUUCUUCGUGAUAGAGCAGGGGAUAUUGAGAUCAUGGAGAAGAAGAAGUAUCCGAUUGGACCGGAGCAUUACACGCUUUUCGAGGAGGUAGGCCAAGGAGUCAGUGCUUCGGUUCAUCGUGCCUUGUGUGUUUCUCUCAAUGAAGUUGUUGCCGUCAAAAUCCUCGAUUUCGAACGCGAUAAUUCCGAUUUGAAUAACAUCUCGCGUGAAGCCCAAACGAUGGUCCUAGUUGAUCAUCCCAAUGUUCUUAAAUCACAUUGCUCAUUUGUUAGUGAUCACAACCUAUGGGUAAUCAUGCCUUACAUGGCUGGAGGUUCCUGUCUCCACAUUCUGAAGGCUGCUCAUCCAGAUGGCUUUGAAGAGACUGUUAUUGCAACAGUAUUACGGGAAGUUCUAAAGGGAUUAGAAUAUCUUCACCAUCAUGGCUUCAUCCAUCGCGAUGUUAAAGCUGGAAAUAUUCUCAUUGAUUCACGAGGUGGAAUAAAGCUGGGAGAUUUUGGUGUCUCUGCUUAUUUAUUUGAUUCAGGUGAUAGGCAACGUAUGCGGAACACAUUUGUUGGAACUCCUUGUUGGAUGGCACCGGAGGUCAUGGAGCAAUUGCAUGGUUAUGAUUUCAAAGCUGAUAUUUGGUCCUUUGGCAUAACUGCAUUGGAGCUUGCUCACGGUCAUGCUCCUUUCUCAAAAUAUCCUCCAAUGAAGGUCUUGCUAAUGACAUUGCAAAAUGCACCCCCUGGCCUUGAUUACGAGAGAGAUAAGAAGUUCUCAAAGUCUUUUAAGCAAAUGAUUGCUAGUUGCUUGGUGAAAGAUCCUUCAAAACGACCUUCAGCCAAAAAAUUGCUGAAGCAUCCGUUCUUUAAGCAAGCAAGGUCCAAUGAUUAUAUAGGUAGGACACUGUUGGAGGGUUUGCCAGCACUUGGAGAUCGCAUGAAGGCAUUGAAGAGGAAAGAAGAAGACAUGCUAGCACAAAAGAAGAUACCAGAUGGGCAGAAAGAAGAAAUAUCACAGAAUGAAUAUAAACGGGGGAUUAGCAGCUGGAAUUUUAACCUUGAAGAUUUGAAGGCACAGGCUACCUUGAUUCCAGAUGAGGAGAUCCUUGGUUACAAGGACCUAGGUGGGAGUUCGAAUUCGCUGUCUGGGCUUGACAUUCCAGGGAAACAGCUAAAUAAGUUUCAGCAUCAGUUCUCCUUCUCAAGUCAAUAUUCAGAUGCUACUGAAUUUGACAGUAACAAUCCAUCUGCCCCUCCUUCACCUGCCACCCAGAAUGUGGCUUAUAACAUAACUAAAUGUGAGAAAUCUGAUGAUGAUUUAAGCAUUGCCAGUUCAUUUCAUGAUCAUCAAAUUUCACAAAAUUCAUCACCAUGCUAUGACAAUCGCAUGGAAUUGAAUUCGGCGGGAAAAGGUGACCAAGUGGCUGAUGCAAAGUUAUUCGAGGGCAUGCCUACAAAUUCUCGCCAAAGUGAUAAAAGUCAGUUCCAAAAUGUAUCCAGUUGCAAUGGGACUUCAGUUCUUCAAACAAUAGAUGAUGUACCAACUGAAGUAAUCAGUAAACACUGUAGAACCUCAGCAGCUAGCAGUGAAGAUUUUGAUGAGAAGACUAAGGGUCAUGUUGUUCAGCAAAGAGGACGUUUCAAAGUUACGUCAGAGAAUGUCGACUUGGAAAAGGUAGGUGCAUCUCCAAUGCUACACAAGAGUCAGAGCAUGCUGGUGAUGCCACAAACUCUUGCUGCUUCUCAACCAUUACCACUUGAUGUUACACCACCAAAUCUUCUUACGCCAUCCCAUUUUCCAGCGUUGCAGAGUAUUUUAGAGGCAAAUAUUCUUCAAAGGGAAAGUAUUCUUAGAUUGAUGAGGCAAGUGGCCGUUGGGGACAAUACGGUGGAUGCUGGAUGCAUGCCAUUAAAUUCGCUUGGUGUGGAGAAAUCGCUGUUGGAGGUUGCUCAUGACAAAGAAAAGGAAUUAAUUAGUGAAAACACUGAAUUGCAGUGGAGGUUGAUACGCGCUCAAGAAGAACUUCAAAAAUACAAAGCGGAAAACGCUCAAAAUAACUCUUGAAAUAGGAGACUGCAUAGGGGAUAUCACAAUCUUUAUAGUUCGGAUUACUCAAGAUACAUUGAUGUUAUUGAAAAACUGUAAAGGAGAAAUGAUUAGUAGCAGCAGCCUGAGAAAAUCUGCAAUCGGAGGGAUCAGAGGUAGCUAUGUUGCUCAGAUUCUUCCAAAAAGUCAAUGGGUGUGUUUCGGGUUUAGUAUAUUUGUGGAGAAUCCAAUAUGGAUGCGGAAUCGAGUCUUUUCUGUCAGCUGAAGUUAUCCACUCUCAUGUUUGGUAUAUUCUUGAUUGUAUUGGGAUCUUAAACCGCCAGUUUGAACGGACUUAUAACUUAUGACUUA
RNA transcript from Solanum lycopersicum (tomato), 2740 nucleotides. It is a transcript of the gene named serine/threonine-protein kinase BLUS1, with no coding region annotated. Lineage: Eukaryota; Viridiplantae; Streptophyta; Magnoliopsida; Solanales; Solanaceae. The record is from RefSeq and is a predicted model, not a curated record.